Molecule: non-coding RNA, 30 nt
Filed under: Homo sapiens (human)
Lineage: Eukaryota; Metazoa; Chordata; Mammalia; Primates; Hominidae
Source: RNAcentral
UCGGACCUAAAAGGGUACCUGGCUCUUAGU